This 497-nucleotide ribosomal RNA is filed under the name uncultured bacterium. Its description in RNAcentral is "partial 16S ribosomal RNA". It matches the Rfam family "Bacterial small subunit ribosomal RNA", at positions 28 to 507 of the family's 1533-position model. The record is from RNAcentral.
GAUGAACGCUGGCGGCGUGCCUAAUACAUGCAAGUCGAGCGAACAGACGAGGAGCUUGCUCCUCUGACGUUAGCGGCGGACGGGUGAGUAACACGUGGAUAACCUACCUAUAAGACUGGGAUAACUUCGGGAAACCGGAGCUAAUACCGGAUAAUAUAUUGAACCGCAUGGUUCAAUAGUGAAAGACGGUUUUGCUGUCACUUAUAGAUGGAUCCGCGCCGCAUUAGCUAGUUGGUAAGGUAACGGCUUACCAAGGCAACGAUGCGUAGCCGACCUGAGAGGGUGAUCGGCCACACUGGAACUGAGACACGGUCCAGACUCCUACGGGAGGCAGCAGUAGGGAAUAUUCCGCAAUGGGCGAAAGCAUGACGGAGCAACGCCGCGUGAGUGAUGAAGGUCUUCGGAUCGUAAAACUCUGUUAUUAGGGAAGAACAAAUGUGUAAGUAACUAUGCACGUCUUGACGGUACCUAAUCAGAAAGCCACGGCUAACUACGUG